UGUUACCUACCGCUCAACACCUUCCUCCUGCGGCCACUGCACCGGCUCAUGCACUACAAGCAGGUCCUGGAGCGGCUGUGCAAACACCACCCGCCGAGCCACGCCGACUUCAGGGACUGCCGAGGUGAGUGCUGGGAGCCUGCGCCACCUGGUGCCCAUGCCACAGUUCAGGCCGGGUGCUCCCAGACUGAGCCCAGCCAGGGAGGGGCUCCCCGGGGAGAGAGGUCAGCUGAUGCUGGGUCCCAGGUUUUCAUCAGGGUGGGCGCUGGUUUUUAUUCCUGCUCUGGUGUUUGGUUACAUCUUGAUUUUUUUUUUUUUUUUUUUUUUUUGAGACUGAGUCUCACUCUGUCGCCCAGGCUGGAGUGCAAUGGCGCGAUCUCGGCUCACUGCAACCUCCACCUCCCGGGUUCAAGCGAUUCUCCUGCCUCAGCCUCUGGAGCAGCUAGGAUUACAGGUGCCCGCCACCACGCCUGGCUAAUUUUUGUAUUUUUAGUAGAGACGGGGUUUCACUGUGUUGGUCAGGCUGGUCUCGAACUCCUGACCUUGUGAUCCGCCCGCCUUGGCCUCCCAAAGUGCUGGGAUUACAGGCGUGAGCCACAGUGCCCAGCCACAUCUUGAUCUUUCCAUAAAGAAGGUGCUAAUGAUCGUCAGGACCCCUUUCUUCCUUUCCCUCUUGCAUGCAUUUUCUCCUUUGGUCCCUGGGUGGUUUUGUGCAAAGAUCACUAGAGAAGCUCCGCUUACAGUUAGCCCCCACCCAGGAAGCUUGCUUCUACCCACGUGACGGAAACUCAUCCCUCUACCAUGGCCACAGAACAUAGCUUGUAACAAAUCCUGUUGCUCAUUGCUGCCGGUCGUUUGUAAUGUGCCCAUCAGCAUAAUGAGCAUCUCUCCUGUAUUAACUCUUCCCAAGCCUCAGGCACAGGUGAGUUCGUCUUACAUAUGGGGACUACCGAGACUAGAGAGGUUAAGGAACCUGCCCAGAGUCACACAGCUUGGAGGGAAAUGAUUUGGAACCUAAAUCUAGAACCCAUGGUCACAACCAUCCUGCCCUUCUAUCUCAUGGACAGUCCUAGCCGCUCAUACUUGCUCAGCCCCAGGCCAGGUGCUGCGUACCUGAUACUGUACCAACGUUCACACCAUUACUCCUUUAAGGACCCCUUUAGAUCAAUUGCAUUAUCCCAUUUUACAGAGAGGGACGCUGAGACUCAGGGGAAGGGACUUGCAGGGUCACUCAGAGGUCAGAGCCGCAUUCCAGACCUGCUUUUCCCACGGGGCCAUGCGUGCUCUUCUGAACGGAAGUCGUUCUGUCUGGUGUCACAGUUGGUCUGUGGGUGUCUGCCCUCCCUGGCCUAGCAUGCGGAGUUGGCCCUGCGUAGGUGGCUCCCGCACAGGUGGCCCCCGCACAGGUGGCCCCCGCACAGGUGGCCCGAAUCCACACACCCACUAGGAGGGCAAGGCCCUUAUUCCUUGCCUGAAAUGUCAGAAACACCUCCCAACUCUUUGGCCAAACGUGUCAUCUUUUUAAAAAUCCAUCCUCUUACACCUUGGCUUAAAACCUGGGUGACGGCUGACUGCCUCAGGCUAAAAUCGGAAGUCUUCAUGACCUGGCCUGGCCAGCUCUCACACCCCAGCUGCGCAGCGAGCACCUGUACUGGGCAUGUGAGGGAGAAGGAACAGUGCGGCCCCUGACCUCACAGGACCCACUGGAGGGUCUGCAGGCAGGUACCUGGGUGCUGGAGGGCCUGCAGGCAGGUACCUGGGCAGUGGCAACCCUGCACUAGGGCCGUGAGAGAGAAGUGGACGGUGCAGUUGGAGCCGGGGCGUUAGGGGGUGUUGGGGGGAUCUCAAAGGGAAAUGGUGUCUAAGUUCAGAACUAACAUGUAAAUAGGAGUUUUCCUGGGUGAAAGGAGGGUGUGGAGAAUAGAGUUAGAAACAGCACAAGCUCAGGUUCAGAGGGGACAGAGACCGGAACAUUGCCAAAAGCGUGCAGGGCACAGGGAGAGCCACAAAGUGAGGCUGCGACAGAAAGCAGGGGCCACAUCCCACUGCACCCCAUGGACCCUGCAAAGCCGUAACCUAAGGGCAGAGGCCAAACAGGAAGUGUUUUAAGGAGGGAAACAGUGAUACCAGGCUUGUUCUAGAAAAAUCGUUGUUAAUAUCUAGAAUAUAUGGCGGACUCCUACAAAUUAGUUGUUAAAAAAGGUAACCCAAUAGGUAGAAGACUUGGCAAAGUAAUUGAGACAGUGACAGUUCACAGAAGGGGAACACAAGUGCCUCCUGACAUGGUUUAUCAUCGACCAUCUGUCUUUAAAACAAACCAUGCUGGCCAGGGGUGGUGGCUCACACCUGUAAUCCCAGCACUUUGGGAGGCCAAGAUGGGAGGAUCACUGGAGGCUGGGAGUUCAAGAGCAGCCUGGGCAACAUAGUGAGACCUUGUCUCUACAAAAAAUUUAAAAAUUACGAGCAUGCACCUAUAGUGCCAGCUACUCAGGAGGCUGAGGUGGGAGGAUCGCAUGAGCCCAGGAGUUGGAGGCUGCAGUGAGCUAUGAUUGCACCACAGCCCAGGUGACAGACCUAGACCCAGUCUCUAAAAACAAAACCAUGCUGCCUCUUGCCUCCACACCUUGGUGCAUUCCGUUCCUUCUGCCUAGAGUCCUGGCCACCACCUCCUUGGCCUUUCCUGGCCAGCUCUCUCUCGUCCUUUAAGCCUCAGCUUGUGCCUGGCACCUGAUGUUGAGCUGACCUCCUGUCCGCCUUGUCCUGUCACACUGGCAUUGCCUGUGUGUUGGCCGAGCCCGGAGGAAAGGACCCAGGGCCCCUCCUGGCUCUGAGGACUCCUCAGAUCUGUCGCCCAUGGGGGUGAGAGUGGUGUGUGGUUUUGCAGGCGCUGUCCUUGGCGGACUCAUCCAGUUCCACUCUGCUAUUUCUCUAAACAGUACCCAAUGGAGAUAGGCUAUCCUUGAUGAUUGAGGAAGAGAGUGCUAGCUAGCUUAAAGCAUGAAGUGGCAGCACUGUAGGAGCCUAGAUUUCCAGAGCUAGAGGGACACUGAGUGCCAAGGGCUGUUCCCAGCACGCCCCUGCCCAUGAGCACCGGGGGCCAGGGUGCCAUCAUUCCAUCAUUUUCCUCUCAGAGCUCCCCACUACCCCCCAGCCCUGCCACUGAGCACUGGGUGCCAAGUAAAUGUUUAUUGGACCAAACUGGGUGGUCAUGUCUGAAAAUCGAGCAAGGCCUGAGAUUUGUCACUAUGGCUGAGACCGCAUUCUCUGAUAAGCCUGGGAGAAUUUAACUCGCAUCCUUGGGGGGAAAAACAAGAAAACUAAAUGCUUCCCUUCCAACACUGAAAUGCUGGGGGAAAGCGGUGAAAGAGGUAUUUAGUGUUCUGAAGACUGAAGUUCAGUCAACAAGUAUUUCUUGCUUUUCUUGACCAAACUACCCAAGUGCUCAGCCGCUGGGGACUUGAGUGCCACCCAAACUUGUCAGCCACUGGGGACUUGCGUGCCACACAAGCUUGUAUUAAUCAGGCACUAGCUCCUUUUAAAUAUUGGAUGCCCACCAGUAUAGGGGAGCUGUGCCUCUAUCGAAAAAUAAAGGCCUGAUGUGGUGGCUCAUGCCUGUAAUCCCAGCACUUUGGGCGGCCAAGGCGUGUGGAUCGCCUGAGGUCAGGAGUUCGAGACCAGCCUAACCAACAUGGUGAAACCUUGUCUCUACUGAAAAUACAAAAUUAGCCAGGCGUGGUGGCACGCACCUGUAAUCCCAGCUACUCGGGAGGCUGAGGCAGGACAAUCACUUGAACCUGGGGGCAGAGGUUGCAGUGAGCUGAGAUUAUGCCAUUGCACUCCAGCCUGGGCAACAAGAGCAAAACUCUGUCUCAAAC
This 3875-nucleotide small RNA is filed under the name Pan troglodytes (chimpanzee). RNAcentral describes it as "retained intron". The record is from RNAcentral. Lineage: Eukaryota; Metazoa; Chordata; Mammalia; Primates; Hominidae.